This 74-nucleotide transfer RNA is filed under the name Danionella cerebrum. RNAcentral describes it as "tRNA-Thr". The stretch from base 8 to 66 matches the Rfam family "tRNA", at positions 8 to 63 of the family's 71-position model. From Rfam's summary of the family: Transfer RNA (tRNA) molecules are approximately 80 nucleotides in length. Lineage: Eukaryota; Metazoa; Chordata; Actinopteri; Cypriniformes; Danionidae. The record is from RNAcentral.
GGCAUCUUGGCUUAGUUGGUUAAAGUUCCUGUCUCGUAAACAGGAGAUCCUGGGUUCAAAUCCCAGCAGUGCAG